GGCGGACGGGUGAGUAACGCGUAAAGAACUUGCCCUUUAGACUGGGAUAACAGAGGGAAACUUCUGAUAAUACUGGAUAAGUUAGUAUAUCGCAUGAUAUGCAAAUGAAAGCUACGGCACUAAAGGAGAGCUUUGCGUCCUAUUAGCUAGUUGGUAAGGUAAGAGCUUACCAAGGCGAUGAUAGGUAGCCGGCCUGAGAGGGUGGACGGCCACAAGGGGACUGAGAUACGGCCCUUACUCCUACGGGAGGCAGCAGA
Molecule: ribosomal RNA, 257 nt
Filed under: uncultured Leptotrichia sp.
Lineage: Bacteria; Fusobacteriati; Fusobacteriota; Fusobacteriia; Fusobacteriales; Leptotrichiaceae
Description: partial 16S ribosomal RNA
Rfam family: Bacterial small subunit ribosomal RNA
Source: RNAcentral